AAUUAUACUAUUUUUUCAAAAUCCUAAAUUACUACUAAGCCAUUCUAUACUCUUAUAGAAAAGUUAAUGUUAGGACUAGUAACACAGAAUUAUUCUCUUACAUGUAAGUCUAAAUCAACACGAAUAACUCUUUGAUAAUUACCCAGCCAUGAAAAGAAAGUAGCACCCCCCUAAAACUACAAAAAUCCUACUUACGUAACUGUUAACCAAACACAUGAACAUGAAAGAAAGAUAAAAAAAUUAGGAAGGAACUCGGCAAACAUAAGUCUCGCCUGUUUACCAAAAACAUCGCCUCUUGAACCUUAUAAGAGGUAACGCCUGCCCAGUGAUUUAAUAUUCAACGGCCGCGGUAUUCUGACCGUGCAAAGGUAGCGUAAUCAUUUGUCUUUUAAAUAAAGACUAGUAUGAAUGGCAUCACGAGGACUUAACUGUCUCCCUAAUUUAAUCAGUGAAACUGAUCUUCCUGUGAAAAAGCAGGAAUAACUUAAUAAGACGAGAAGACCCUAUGGAGCUUAAAAUCUACAUCUACCUAUAUUUUCUGUUAAUAAAAUACCACUAAUUUAUAGACUAGAUAAAGUUUUUGGUUGGGGCGACAAUGGAGAACAACUUAUCCUCCAUGAAGAAAAACUUUGAGUUACCACUCUUAGUAGUAGCAAGCCUAACUUAAAUUGAUCCAAAUUUUUUGAUCAACGGAACAAGUUACCCUAGGGAUAACAGCGCAAUCCAUUUCAAGAGUUCAUAUCGACAAGUGGGUUUACGACCUCGAUGUUGGAUUAGGACAUCCUAGUGGUGCAGCCGCUACUAAGGGUUCGUUUGUU
This 818-nucleotide ribosomal RNA is filed under the name Leptobrachium smithi (Smith's litter frog). Its description in RNAcentral is "partial 16S ribosomal RNA". It matches the Rfam family "Bacterial large subunit ribosomal RNA", at positions 1484 to 2581 of the family's 2925-position model. The record is from RNAcentral. Lineage: Eukaryota; Metazoa; Chordata; Amphibia; Anura; Megophryidae.